AGCUCGGCGGUCAGAGCUCGAAUUCUUUCCUCGGAUGCUCCAAUUCUCUCUUGGAGCACCUGACGUUCGGCCUCGGAGGCCUGGUACCUCGCCUCGGCGGCCAGGUACCUCGACUGGGCCUCCUCGUAACCGCGCUGGCACCUCCGGGCCCGCUCCCGGUAGUCUUGGACUAUGUGCAUCAGCAUUUCCGUCUCGUGCAAGUGCUGUAAAAGAGACGAAAAGAAAAACAUAAGGCGCUGCGAGUAAAAAUUUUUUACAAAUUACACAGAUGAAAAAUUUUACUUACCCGGACGGCGUUACAGCGGGUGGCGUCCAUGAAGGCAUUGUAGCUCAUGGACUGUAUCGUGGCCCGGUCGGCCGGGAGCAGCGCGACCCGAAAUACUUCG
Molecule: long non-coding RNA, 386 nt
Filed under: Phoenix dactylifera (date palm)
Lineage: Eukaryota; Viridiplantae; Streptophyta; Magnoliopsida; Arecales; Arecaceae
Description: long non-coding RNA (PDAC_LNC014352)
Source: RNAcentral